Long non-coding RNA from Toxotes jaculatrix (banded archerfish), 1483 nucleotides. RefSeq lists it as uncharacterized. The transcript is spliced from 4 exons. The record is from RefSeq and is a predicted model, not a curated record. NCBI's taxonomy places the organism in Eukaryota, Metazoa, Chordata, Actinopteri, Toxotidae.
UCUCAUGUCAUCACCAACAACAAAGACGAGAGCGUCUCUGAUUGGACAACUUCGGAGCGAGAGAGUACUAGAGAAGCGCUGAUUGGCUAAAGCGGUGAAGAGUUUAAACUCUCUGAUGCGCUCGUUUAACUUUCAGGGACACUGCCGGUGAGUGGAGUCAAAUAGAGUUCCAGUCACUGAUGACCGCUCCGCCCUCUGCGGGUAUCCCAGAUGUUUGUACACGCGCUUUGUUCAUGUCAUUUUCACUGACGUAAUGUGUUUUCGUAAACCUGAUUGGCCGCUUCCUCUGGCAGGUAAAUAAACCGCACACAUGUCAACACAGUAAAUGUUUGUUUUUUAAAAACCCCAGAAGAAGAAGGUGUAUGUACGGCUCUGUCUUUACUUUGAUUUUUAUAUUUAUACUUCAUUUAGUCUUCGUAGUUAUUGAAUAGAAUUUAGCCUUUAAUUGUAUUGUUUGUUAUCUGCCUCAUUGUUUUUAUGAUUUAUGUUAAGUAGCUGCUGGAAACGCUGCAGUUUCCUUUUUGGCAUCUCUGUCUCCCUGCCUGUCUGUCUGUCUGUCUGUCUGUCUCUCUCUCUCUCUCUCUCUCUCUCCUUGGUCUGAGACGUAUGGACAGCCUGACGGAGACACUGAGGACUGACUGCACCUGACAGAACAACACUAAUCCUCUUAUCACCAGAGUGCAGCUCCUGGCCUGCAGCCUGUCCGGCUCUGUUUCUGCCACCAGGCUGAAUAAUUCAGCUGAGCUGCAGGCGAACGCACAUGAGACAGUCUGCCUCCUGCCUUCAGUGAUCAGCUGAGCAGCGCUCGCAGCUGUGAAAUCAGGCGUCAGACUGAUCUGUUUCCUGGAGCUGUUGAUCAGUUGUUCACCUGUGGCCGUCUGUAGCCUGCUCUCUGAUUGGUCGACACAUUACCGCAGGUCGAGUCUCCCCCGAAACAAGAAGACACGGUGAAGAGGUGGGGCUGUCUCCAAGCUCUGUGCAGAAUCUCCUGCACCUGCAUCUUCCUCUAUAAUCCCACUGGGUCCUGGGUCAAGUCCAGCCCUCCCUGACCCUCCGCUCUGUGAGGUUACUGUGGUUGGCUGCUCCCUCUCUGACCUCUGACCCCUGCUGGAGGUGAAGUGACGGGGCCGGGAGGGGGACGAGGUCCGUCUGAAGCUUUGGUGGUGGAAAGUAACCAAGUACAUUUACUCAGCAGCGCAUGUGAUCAGUGGUGAGAUGAGCCUCUGUGGAGAGUUUGACCCAUUGAAAGCAGCAGUUGUCAGCAGCACACGGUGCUCCACGUCCAGCUUUGAAGAGACGUCAGGACUGGGGAGAUGAGGAAGCCUUUUUAUUGCUUUACAGUUGCCUUUGUGAGGGGCCUCAGGAAACCACUCAGCCACACUAAUAGAACGUUCAAGGGGCCAAACCUUUUUGUUUCGCCUUUCUCUGCCUUUCUGUCUUAUGAACAAAAGUACAUUCCUUCACACACGUCCCCCCUGUAAGU